Molecule: ribosomal RNA, 1149 nt
Filed under: Triticum aestivum (bread wheat)
Lineage: Eukaryota; Viridiplantae; Streptophyta; Magnoliopsida; Poales; Poaceae
Description: partial small subunit ribosomal RNA
Source: RNAcentral
AUGGGCGCGUUGCAUGCCCCCUUGGUGUCCACCCUACCCCACACGGCAGUCACCCAACUACCACUAACCGCUGGACAGUCAACCCGUAACCAUUUUCUACCGCCCACCAUGUCGUGGAAGCGAACAAAUGGAGCGCACGACCACGAUGCCGGCCCCUCCUCGGGGCGGCGCCGCCAUGUGGCAACCUUCAUCGUGGUGCUGCCAGGGCUGCACCGCCGGCGCGUGACCAUGUUGCCAGCCAUUUCGGCCUCUGGUCGUGCGCGGGAGGCGGAGAUCUGCCGCCACCGCACUCAGCUACUAAGUGACCUCUGCCACGACCCGGCGUUCGCAUUGGACUCGCCACACUGGGACAUUUGGUUCGGCGAUGAGCUCGACCAGCGUCGCUGGUCAUGCUUCACCGCUCAUGCACCAACGCCCCUGCGCGCUCCAACACCACAACCAAGAAGGAGGAUGAGGCCCUCAAGAAGGACAUCGAGGACUCCGAACUGGCCAAGAUGGCCUAGUGGACUGACCUGCACCUGCCACUGGUGCUCCAAGUCUCGACGUUGGAGGCCCCCGCGCCACCGUCGAAGCUACGAAAUUUCCCGAAUUUCCCAUUCUACCCCUCUUCUCGUGCCGACCGACAAGUUCCCCUCUCUCUCGCGCGACGCUCCCCACCACUCGCUCCCCACCACUCGUCUCUCUCUAUCUCUCGCGCGUGACGCCGCCCUCUCUCUGUCGACGCGCCCUCUCUCCCCCUCUCGCCAGCAUCUUGCUCCGCACCGCCGCCUGGCUCACCGCUCCUCACACGCCGCCCUCUCCUACUCUGGCAACGCGCUGCUAGGCGAGGAGGAGGCGCGCGCUGGCGCUAGAUCUGAGUGCGCCGGCGGCCCCGCUGGCUACCGCGGGGAGGCCUCCUCGUCGCCGUCCCUGCAGCCGCCGCCGCCGCAGCAGCAGCAGGGGCACGCUAUUCAGCCCGUGUGGCUGCGGCAGCCGAGUCUGCCUUGGGAUCUUGGUGCGGGCGCGCCUCCCAUCGGCUUCGGGCUUCGUGAUCUUGAGGAGAUGCGCAAGAUGGUGCUCGACGGGUUCAAGCACUGCGCGCACGGGAUCAUGGAGAACAGCCAGGGGCAUGCAGCCAGGAGUAGAUUCCUGUACUGUUCUUUCCUGUAG